AUACCUCUAGGGUUACUUUUGACUGAAAAGCAUGACGAUCUGAUUCUGUAUGAUGUAUGCCAUGAUUAUAUAUCUGUUGCAUGGGGACUUGGGUUAUACUAUGGAGGAAGAGUCCUGGUGGCUGGUGGCUCUGCCACAUAUAUCUGUCCUGGUGGCUAUGCCACAAUUAUCUGAUCUGGUGGCUCUGCCACAUAUAUCUGUUCU
RNAcentral lists this long non-coding RNA (204 nucleotides) under Gossypium barbadense (sea-island cotton). RNAcentral describes it as "long non-coding RNA (GBAR_LNC000169)". Lineage: Eukaryota; Viridiplantae; Streptophyta; Magnoliopsida; Malvales; Malvaceae. The record is from RNAcentral.